This is a long non-coding RNA of Phragmites australis (common reed), 1788 nucleotides long. RefSeq lists it as uncharacterized. The record is from RefSeq and is a predicted model, not a curated record. The transcript has 3 exons. Lineage: Eukaryota; Viridiplantae; Streptophyta; Magnoliopsida; Poales; Poaceae.
GAAAACUUCCAAGCGCACGCAGGCAGAGAGAGAGAGAGAGAGAGGGAGAGAGAAGCGAGCCGAAGCGGGAAUGCGCGAUCACCUCCGUGCCCACCCCCCUCCCCGCUCCUCCUUCCCUCCGUCGCCGCAGUCACCGGCGACCGACUUGACCUGAGCGAACGCUUUGUUCUUGUGGGCUCCAUACGUACUUAUGCACUAUGGAGAGAUUGCUACUUAUAUGGUUGCUGAUUUUGGAGGUAACUGUUCAGAAAUCACCAAAGUACAAAAAUGUCCACCAGCUUUGACAUCUGUUGGCACAAAUGCGCAGCCGCAGGUCAACAACUGAUGGCACUGUCUCUAAAAGUGUAAAGGACUAAUGCUGAUUGUUUAGAAUGUUAAAAAUAACGGAAAUUAACUUGACAGCUGCAGCCCCCUAACAUUGGAGUACUUUCUUGGCUACAGGCUUCCCCAGUGUGCUUUCAUAUGCUUAUCAUCAUGCUGAUGUCAUAUAGAGGGAAGAACCUUCAGCACGUUAUCAAGCAGGAAUAUAUCUUUGUCCUGUCUUUUGUGUUUUCCUGCUAAUGCUGUGUAAUAUUUGAUUUUCUUCUAAAAAGGAUCUCUUAUGAGUUUGAAUUCUUCCUUUGCCUAAAGUUCACAUAUUUAGCAAACCAAAUCAGUUUUAUCCGAAUGUGCUUUUUUUAUCCUUUUUUUUCUUUUUUUUUUUAACGUAAAUUUGAUCAUGAUCAAUUGUGUUAUGGCUUGUGCCAAAUGGAAUCAGUGAACUGGUUUUUGGAUAUUCUUUAUUCCAUCGGACCUCUGAAUAGCAUAAAACUAUGAUAUCCCAGAUUCUAACUCUACCUUAUUUUUUGUGGCUCGAUUAAUUUUGUGAUAUUAUUUUUUCUGUUCUGUUAUCUUCCACUCGCUAAUGAUGAUGUUAGUUGGACACCAUUGUACCACUGUUGGCAAUGGCAAUGUUGAGACUAAAUAUUAAAUAUAAAUUAAAUGUCUUUUCCAUCUGGAAGAGCACUGUCGUUCCUCAGUUGCUAUUUUUAUGGCUUGCUACGUCUACUUCCCUUUUAUACUUCUUUUUUGCUUCCCUUUUAAUUGAUAUGUUCAUUUUUGAAACCUGCAGAUACAUCCAAUAAUGCAGUUCAUGCGUCCAAGCAGGCACAUGAUAUAAACAAAGGAAAUUAAAGUGCAUACGCCACAUAAGUUGAAACAUCCUGGUAACUCACUGGAUCACUUCUCCCUGGGAAAAGCCUCGGUCAAUCAUCACAGUUGGGGUCCUGGGGAAAAAGAGGUUGCAUCAGAUGUUCGUAUUCCAGGACAGAGAGCAUCUUCCUUUUGUUUAUCUCGGGCAGCUAGCUAGCAAUUCUAAUCAGAAAUCUUUACUUCUCCCUCCAACAAGAAGCUGCAUGUUGCAGGCGCUGAAUAUGUCCGCGAUCAGUUAAGAAUUGGGCUUCCUGUAAUUACACAGAUAAUUGGGCAGGUACAAGAAUAAUGAUUUGUCUGAUUGACUGGCGCUAGCGUCAAUGGGGGGGCACUGAUCAUUGCUGGGGGAAAUUCAUUGCCUGUGGAUUCCUUUUCUGAAAUUUCGAGUGCAAAAAAGGGUCCACUGGAGGAGACGGUUUUUUGGAGUAUAGUAUUCACGAUGAGCUAGUCAAAGCACGUAUUAUUGUUGGUAUCUUUGCUUGUCUGAUAAAAGAAAGUUUUUAUCCAUGAUUCCAUGAUUACGACUGUAAUGGCAUCCUAAUGUGCCCAUGUGAUAGCGGAUACUCAUCUCCAAUUAAACAAACGCUUCACGAAUCA